UACGUGAGGGGCGAGCGUUACUCGGAAUUACUGGGCGUAAAGGGCGUGCAGGCGGUCUUUCAAGUCUAAUGUAAAAACCCACGGCUUAACUGUGGAUCUGCAUUGGAAACUGUAAGACUUGAGUCUGGUGGAGGGUAAUGGAAUUCCCGGUGUAGCGGUGAAAUGCGUAGAUAUCGGGAAGAACACCGAAGGCUAAAGCAGUUACCUAUGCCAAGACUGACGCUGAGGCGCGAAAGCAUGGGUAUCAAACAGG
Molecule: ribosomal RNA, 253 nt
Filed under: uncultured bacterium
Lineage: Bacteria
Description: partial 16S ribosomal RNA
Rfam family: Bacterial small subunit ribosomal RNA
Source: RNAcentral